UGCCAAUCAGAGCAGAACAUCCUGUUGUGGGAGUGGAGUAGUUAGAAGUUUCAUGGUAUAUCUUUCAGAAAAGAAUAAACUAGCAUUAUAAUUGAGGUCAUUGCCAAAACAUGGUAUUCUCAUGAAAAGAUGUGAUAGGAUUAAGCUGUCAUUAAUGCUUAUUAGCCGGGGUUGGGGGGAAAUCUUUCCUAAACAGAACUUUUAACUUAACUGGAAUUAACUGAGGCUUUUUCUAAGCCAGCAAAACUGCUCAGACUACUAAAGGAGCAUAUUUGUGGGCACUGUCUGACUCGUAUGAAGAUGCACAUGUGAGAAUGGAUACUCAGGUGUCUGCACAUGGAGCAUCAAGAUUCAAUGAGCCAUAAGAGAGCAAGAUCUAGUGCAUAAAUGCUUUAAAUCUCUAUUAGCAUCACACUUGUUAAUAUUCCAUUGGUCAAAGCAAGUCAUAUGGAUAAGCCACAAAUCAAAGGGUGGAAGAUAGAUUCUACUUCUUGAUGGAAGAAUUGCAAGUUGGAGGAGAUACAAAAAGUUACAUUGCAAAAGUUAGCUCUAAUGAGCAUAAAGGGAAGAAACCUGUGAUAGAAAAGGAGGCCUCUGUCAUACCCAUAUUCAUUUUCAAUGGAGUGUUUUGGGCUUUGCGUAAGUACAAAUAUAAGUGUGAGAUUGGACCUCCUAAUACAGUCAAAUGCUCACAGUGUACAGUGUAGCAGCUAAUAACAGCUCAAAAUCUAGAGUCAUCUCCUCUAUCUGAAUUCUAGUUUCGCCCCUUGUGAACUGGAUCAUUGUGGGCAACUAAGUGUUUAACUACUUAAAAUCAACUUUCUAAUCAGUAAAGUUGUAAUAAUAAUAGUAAAAUCAGCAUGGUUUGGGAAAGAUUAACAUAUGUAACAUAAUAGCAUAUUUUAUUAGCUAUUAUUUGUAUUAUUAUGGUUGUUAAUUUUACUCUGGAAGACAAUGGGAGAGUUAUUCUUACCCCUCAUUGACCAUAAACAACAACUGAACAUAAACAUUAUUACAUGUAUAUCGUCCAUACAUGUAAACACUGAGAUGAGACUCAAUGCAAAAUAUAUUUCCAUAUACUAAAAUAUCACAAAUAUCCCUAACAUUUAAAAUAAUUCAGAAGACCAAUUUCAGAAGACCCUUCCUAAAUGGACAUGUGCUUUGAUUUCCAGUCCUAAUGAUCUGGUAGCUUUUCAGGUAUUUGUUAUUAAGAUUGGUAAAUAAUACUAUUCCUUCCAAGGUAAAAUUAGAUGAGCCAGAGUCUGGAGGGUUAUCUUUCAUAAGGUUUAUUAUAAAGUUAUUUAUUUUAUAUGUAUUCUACAUAGGGAAG
Molecule: long non-coding RNA, 1330 nt
Filed under: Homo sapiens (human)
Lineage: Eukaryota; Metazoa; Chordata; Mammalia; Primates; Hominidae
Description: HSALNT0125134
Source: RNAcentral